Molecule: long non-coding RNA, 1526 nt
Filed under: Sus scrofa (pig)
Lineage: Eukaryota; Metazoa; Chordata; Mammalia; Artiodactyla; Suidae
Description: lncRNA (ENSSSCG00005034874.1)
Source: RNAcentral
GCCUGAACAACAUGCAUUUUAUUCCCACGACUUUUGGCCCACGACCUUCUAGAAUUUCCCCUUGGGCCUUCCUGGGGUGCGUUCCCAGAUGACGUCCGAUUGUUUGCCUUCGUGCGCUUCACCACCGGGGAUGCCAUGAGCAAGAGGUCCAAGUUUGCCCUCAUUACCUGGAUUGGCGAGAACGUCAGCGGGCUGCAGCGCGCCAAGACGGGCACCGACAAGACCCUGGUGAAGGAAGUGGUGCAGAAUUUCGCCAAAGAGUUUGUGAUCAGUGAUCGGAAGGAGCUGGAGGAAGAUUUUAUCAAGAGCGAGCUCAAGAAGGCCGGGGGUGCCAAUUAUGACGCCCAGACGGAGUAACCCCCGCACCCCGCGCCUUGCCAAAGUCAUCUGCCUGCUCCCCGGGGGAGGGGACCGCGGCCUCAGCUACCAGCCCAUCAGCCCACCAGGGAGAGGAGACGCGAUGAGAGGCAACGCCCGCCACCCCGUCCGCAACCCAGCUCCCCUCCCCGCUUCCCCUUGUGCACCUGCUGUGUCCCGUCCCAUGAAGCUCAUGGAACAUCUUUCUUUGCUUUUUUUUCUUUUCUCCCCCUGACCCCUUUCUUGUUCUAAACAAAAAUCAUUUGGAUGCCAAGGUCACGCACAUCACCAGAUCGGAGGUGCCUCCUGCGGUGACCCUCUCCUGGCAUUUCUUAACGCACAGGCAGCCUGCCCGGCCUGACCCAUCAACCUCGCGUCGCUUCUGGCGCCUGGGCCAGUGUCGCUCUCUUGUUUUCUUUUUUUUUGGCGCCCUCCUGCUUCCCACGGAGGAGGCAGCCACGUGGGGAGCCCGUCCUCAUCGUGCCCUUGUCGAGCCCCGCUGGCCAGGCUCACACCUCCAGGAGUCCCUCCGGAGGCCCCCCCACCCCCCACCUCCAUUCCAAGUUGCCUAAGCUCCAUGUCCAUCAGAGACGGUGCUCGGUGGAGAGAUGGGCAGCCCUGACUCAGACCGAAGGAGGAGAGAGGAAAAUCUGCCACCCGUCAGAAGCGGCCCGUUCCCCAGCCUUGGGAUGGCGCUCUCGGGAUGGCGGGGGGUGGGGGCAGAGGUCUGAGUCCAGAUUCGACGGGAGGUGCUCAGGGCUCACAUCCUCGGGCUCCCCAAGUGACGAGGACAUUAGGGGUGCAGAAUGGGCAUUUAGGUCAAAGCGGUCCUCUGCACGACAGCACAGACAGCAGGGGACAGAGGCUCCCUGCUCCGUCACGGUCACCACAGCUGUGUGUGCAGCGCCCCCCCCCACUGGGGGGGGGGGGAAACCAGAAAGUCUAUGGUUUUAAUCCUCGGUGGCACCUCACACAAAAAGGAUUUUUUUUUUUUUCAAAGAAAGAUGAGGUUGGCUUGGUUCUUCAUGCCCAUGUUAGGUAGGGCUCUUUUUCUCUUUUCCUUGCUCGUUUCGUCGGGGGACGUCUGUGCUGUGCUGGGGUGGUGAAGGCAUCUGCACUCAAAACGGUUUACAGAAAUAAAUUUUUGUUUUGUUUUGUUUUUCAAAAAA